Long non-coding RNA from Lycium barbarum (goji berry), 606 nucleotides. RefSeq lists it as uncharacterized. The transcript has 3 exons. The record is from RefSeq and is a predicted model, not a curated record. Lineage: Eukaryota; Viridiplantae; Streptophyta; Magnoliopsida; Solanales; Solanaceae.
AUAAAACAACAAAAUGAAAUGUAAAUAGUUUGAGCUGAAGAGAAUUAGGAAACUGGGGAUAAACACGGUGGUGGUAGUCGUGCACCGGAAUCUCUUCCAUAUCCAUCUUCUCAACUGAUUUGAACUUUGAUUUUCUCUGUACUCUGAUUUUUUAGAGGAACUACACUCCACUACUGUUUGAUCCUUGCUCGGCUCUCCCUGUGAUUUACCAGCAGAUGAUUCCACCCCAGGUUUGGUUGAAAUGUGUUGCUGCCCUUGUUCUUUAGUUACCUCCAGAGAAUUUUCCUCAUCAACCUUUGCUCUUUAUGAUGUUCCAGCUUUGUUUCCUCCUUCUUUGGCCUAUAUUCCGGAUGUACUACCCAACAGCCUUGUAUAUCAUGACCUUGUAGUUUACAGUGGUUGCAAUAUUUGGGCAAAUAGUCAUAUUGGAUCCUUUGCCAUUUUGCUUGUAUUUCUCCAUUCUCCUCGUCGACGCAACUAAUAUGGAUUCUCUUUGGCAAUUCUUUUAGAAGAUUUACUUCCACCUUCACACGUGCACAACUUGGUCUUGUCUGAUUAGUAGUUGAUUUAUCGAUCACCAAUGGUGUACCUACUGCUUGUGCCAUA